UGAGAUAGAGGGGUUUUAGUCGGUAGGUCCGAGGACCUCUUCCUCGGGAAUCCGAAACUACCCAGUUGUACGGACGGCUGGGUGUCUUUUGAAGAUUUUUCCCCUCU
Molecule: non-coding RNA, 107 nt
Organism: Agrilus planipennis (emerald ash borer)
Lineage: Eukaryota; Metazoa; Arthropoda; Insecta; Coleoptera; Buprestidae
Source: Rfam